CGUAGACGUCAACAGAUCAUUCAUUGAACAAUGUUCAUUGUUUCAUUAAAAUACAUCACGGGUUACGUGGAACACUUUAACGCGGUACAUAUAUAGUUAGGGCAAGCAUUGAUGACAGUGACAAUCCAAAGUGCCGCGCUUUUUAGCAAGAGUCAUAGAGUCAGUUUAAAAUAAAAAUUGUGCAAAAUAAUUACGCGCGCCUAAAAUGAUACUUGCUCGAAUAUGGGUCUUCGCUUGGACUCUUCCAAGCAUGUAUACAGCAUUACAGAAAAAUCAUGAUACAUAUUUUUAUAGAUCUCUGAUAAAGCUUUCGUAUCCUGAUAAAAACCUAGAGUGUUUUAUAACGUAAUCGCCUAGUGCUCGUAUAGCUUAUUUUUCUCACGACUAUUGUUUUUAAAUUUUGAAUAAAACUGUGAUUAAAAGUUUUUUCUAUUUAGAGAAUGGAAUUAGAAAGAUUCUCUUUCUUUCAUCGAUCCUGUUUUCUAUACACCACUUAGUGGUUUAUUUUUUCAACGACAGUGGUGUCUUUUGUCGAGAAAAUUUGCGAUACUAGAGCAACAUUACAUUUUACACUCGAGUCUUUCAAGUGCCUAAGGAUGGCCUCGGGCAAAGAGCAUGAUUUAGGACGCAGAGUGUUUCCAAACCUGCAUCAUCGGGCAAAAAGUAGGUCUAGGGAAUCAGCUGACCGAAAGGGGCGCGUGCGCUUCGUUGAAAGCAGAAGACAUUUGAAACGCCCACUAUACACACCUACUCGCCGAAUUCCGGAAAAAGGGAGUCUUCGGAACCGCGGAUAUUGAUAAGGCUACAAAAAAAGACUUCGCGCUUAAGUGAUCACUGAUUACACCUACGCACACGUGCGCGGACACGUAUUAUAUUUAGGAAUGUAGGCCACGCGUAUCGGAUUGAUAUGACACUUUAUAUAUUUAAAAAAUAACUAUCAAAGUAUUAUUUACUUCUUUUUUUAAAACACGUUUACUGCUACGCCAGUCACUGGUAACUGAUACUCGGAUGGCGGACCAUGAAGAGAGCCCUAAUUUUAAUUCAAUUUUGUAUUUCUUAUUAUUUUCAUUUUCCAAAUAUUAUUUUGUUCCUUUAAAAGUGAUGCUUCCAAUAUAAGAAACUCAAUAUAAGAAACUUAAUUUGAAAAUUGAGGCAAUUGUAUGAGGAGUGAUUAAAAUAUGUGUUUUCAAAUUGAAUGACUUAAUUAAUUUUAUUUAAAAUUUUUUUUAGUUAGUUGAACAUGUUUGUUGAGGAAAGAUUUUAAAAUUUAAUUUUGCCCCAUCUGUUGCUUAACCGUUAUAUCAGCGCACUUUGCAAUGCACACGUAACGAAUCUUUGACCAUGACCGAGUGAGCGUUUAGCGUGGACAAACAUAGUCAAGAUUGAUAUGACAUUUACGUAAAGAGCAGUUUGAUUUUGAAAUUGUCAGUUUUCAGUGGCUGCGAAAUAUACGCUGCUCUUUUUACUUUGAAACAGUUCGCGAAGCUUUUAUCUUCGCAUACGCGUGUACAGUCAUUCGUACUAUAACGAUACUCUCUCCAUUGCGUAAAACGGCUUUCUUAAACAAAAGAGGAUUUGUCGGUGAAAGGCGUUUCGUUGUUAGUCGUGAGAAAAAAAAGUAGUGCAGUGACAUACGGGAAAAUCUCAUUACUUAACCAUACUACACCAGCUUGCCUUCUGUAAUCGUAAAAUCGUUAUGAACUAGUUCAUUUUGUUAAAUAAAAAUCUUGAUAUUAACCCUUCUCAGUCGAGCGAGUCGCAAACUAAAUUUUCUGCCAAUAUCAAUACUAAUUUAUCUCUUUUCUCCUAAAAAAAAAAAGAGUUACGACAAAGUGAAUUUUUCCGCAUUAAACAAACAGUAUAAGUCAAUUAGCUCGAAAAAGGUAAUAAAGCGCGCAAGGAAAGUAACUACGGUGCAUUAAGUUAAUUACUAUCCGCAAUUAUUUUUUUCUUCCUUCACGACACAGUGAAACGCUAUCAUCGACGAUGCUUCCGCGUACGUAUAUAGAACGUCAGCAUGAAAACGCGGCGGAUUCCCAUCGUUAUGUCAUCGUAGCAUCAAAUUAGGAGGUAAAGUAACGAGGGAAAGCUAGCUUGAUUAAUUGUUCCGAUGAUUCAGUGAUGAAGUACUCGCCGCAGCAGCAA
Osmia bicornis bicornis is the source of this 2145-nucleotide long non-coding RNA. RefSeq lists it as uncharacterized. The record is from RefSeq and is a predicted model, not a curated record. The transcript has 2 exons. Lineage: Eukaryota; Metazoa; Arthropoda; Insecta; Hymenoptera; Megachilidae.